GAUGAACGCUGGCGGCGUGCCUAAUACAUGCAAGUCGAGCGAACGGACGAGAAGCUUGUUUCUCUGAUGUUAGCGGCGGACGGGUGAGUAACACGUGGAUAACCUACCUAUAAGACUGGGAUAACUUCGGGAAACCGGAGCUAAUACCGGAUAAUAUUUUGAACCGCAUGGUUCAAGAUUGAAAGACGGUCUUGCUGUCACUUAUAGAUGGAUCCGCGCUGCAUUAGCUAGUUGGUAAGGUAACGGCUUACCAAGGCAACGUUGCAUAGCCGACUUGAGAGGGUGAUCGGCCAAACUGGAACUGAGACACGGUCCAGACUCCUACGGGAGGCAGCAGUAGGGAAUCUUCCGCAAUGGGCGAAAGCCUGACGGAGCAACGCGGCGUGAGUGAGGAAGGUCUUCGGAUCUUAAAACUCUGUUAUUAGGGAAGAACAUAUGUGUAAGUAACUGUGCACAUCUUGACGGUACCUAAUCAGAAAGCCACGGCUAACUACGUG
This 497-nucleotide ribosomal RNA is filed under the name uncultured bacterium. RNAcentral's name for it is "partial 16S ribosomal RNA". It matches the Rfam family "Bacterial small subunit ribosomal RNA", at positions 28 to 507 of the family's 1533-position model. The record is from RNAcentral.